This 311-nucleotide ribosomal RNA is filed under the name Agrobacterium sp. S2/73. Its description in RNAcentral is "partial 23S ribosomal RNA". It matches the Rfam family "Bacterial large subunit ribosomal RNA", at positions 2604 to 2925 of the family's 2925-position model. Lineage: Bacteria; Pseudomonadati; Pseudomonadota; Alphaproteobacteria; Hyphomicrobiales; Rhizobiaceae. The record is from RNAcentral.
GUUGGGUUCAGAACGUCGUGAGACAGUUCGGUCCCUAUCUGCCGUGGGUGUAGGAAUAUUGACAGGAUCUGUCCCUAGUACGAGAGGACCGGGAUGGACGUAUCUCUGGUGGAUCUGUUGUCCUGCCAAGGGCAUAGCAGAGUAGCUAUAUACGGAAUGGAUAACCGCUGAAGGCAUCUAAGCGGGAAACCAACCUGAAAACGAGUGUUCCCUAUCAGAGCCGUGGAAGACGACCACGUUGAUAGGACGGGUGUGGAAGCAUGGCAACAUGUGAAGCUUACCGUUACUAAUAGCUCGAUCGACUUCUUCGU